This 253-nucleotide ribosomal RNA is filed under the name uncultured bacterium. RNAcentral's name for it is "partial 16S ribosomal RNA". It matches the Rfam family "Bacterial small subunit ribosomal RNA", at positions 524 to 776 of the family's 1533-position model. The record is from RNAcentral.
UACGUAGGGUGCAAGCGUUAAUCGGAAUUACUGGGCGUAAAGCGUGCGCAGGCGGUUUUGUAAGUCUGACGUGAAAUCCCCGGGCUCAACCUGGGAAUUGCGUUGGAGACUGCAAGGCUGGAGUCUGGUAGAGGGGGGUAGAAUUCCACGUGUAACAGUGAAAUGCGUAGAGAUGUGGAGGAACACCGAUGGCGAAGGCAGCCCCCUGGGUCAAGACUGACGCUCAUGCACGAAAGCGUGGGGAGCAAACAGG